Molecule: ribosomal RNA, 305 nt
Filed under: uncultured bacterium
Lineage: Bacteria
Description: bacterial SSU rRNA
Rfam family: Bacterial small subunit ribosomal RNA
Source: RNAcentral
CGCCUACGGGAGGCAGCAGCUAAGAAUAUUGGGCAAUGGAGGAAACUCUGACCCAGCCAUGCCGCGUGAAUGAAGAAGGCCUUCGGGUUGUAAAGUUCUUUUAGUCGUGAAGAUGAUGACAGUAGCGACAGAAUAAGCACCGGCUAACUACGUGCCAGCAGCCGCGGUAAUACGUAGGGUGCGAGCGUUAAUCGGAAUUACUGGGCGUAAAGGGUGUGCAGGCGGCUGAGUAAGACAGAUGUGAAAUCCCCGGGCUUAACCUGGGAACCGCAUAUGUGACUGCUUGGCUAGAGUGCGUCAGAGGG